CAAUCGAACUCGGAGAUAGCUGGUUCUCCCCGAAAUAGCUUUAGGGCUAGCGUUAUGUUAGAUUACCGGAGGUAAAGCACUGAAUGGUGGCGGGGCCGAUAAGGUUACCAAGACCUAUCAAACUCUGAAUGCCGGAUAAUUGAUGCAUAGCAGUCAGACAGCGUGAGAUAAGUUUCGUUGUCAAAAGGGAAACAGCCCAGACCCACAGCUAAGGUCCCAAAUUCAUGCUAAGUGGAAAACGAUGUGGAAUUGCGAAAACAACCAGGAUGUUGGCUUAGAAGCAGCCACUCAUUAAAAGAGUGCGUAAUAGCUCACUGGUCGAGUGACUCUGCGCGGAAAAUAUAACGGGGCUAAGCACACAACCGAAGCUUGGGAUUGUCAAAAGACAGUGGUAGGGGAGCGUCGAAUACGGGGUGAAGUCGUAUCGGAAGGAACGGUGGACUGUAUUCGAGUGAGAAUGCCGGAAUGAGUAGCGAGAAUUAUGUGGGAAUCAUAAUGGCCGAAAAUCUAAGGUUUCUUGGGGAAGGUUCGUCCGCCCAAGGUAAGUCGGGAGCUAAGCUCAGGCCGAGAGGCGUAGGCGAUGCACAUACGGUAGAAAUUCCGUAACCACCGAAACUUAAACAGAGGGACACUUCGAAAUAGCGGAACCCGGGCGUUGGUUGACCCGGGCGUAAGGGAGCGAAAUUAGAGUAGCGAAGUCCGCGAUGUUCGGAGGCGAGAAAAGCUCUGAGGUAUGCUAAGGUGCCCGUACCGCAAACCGACACAGGUAGAUGAGGAGAGAAUCCUAAGGCCAACGGGAGAAGGGUUGUUAAGGAACUCGGCAAAUUGACCCCGUAACUUCGGAAGAAGGGGAGCCUCGAAAGAGGCCGCAGUGAAUAGGCCCAAGCAACUGUUUACCAAAAACACAGGUCUAUGCUAAAUCGAAAGAUGACGUAUAUGGGCUGACGCCUGCCCGGUGCCGGAAGGUUAAGAGGAGAUGUCAGGCAACGAAGCAUUGAAUUGAAGCCCCGGUAAACGGCGGCCGUAACUAUAACGGUCCUAAGGUAGCGAAAUUCCUUGUCAGGUAAGUUCUGACCCGCACGAAUGGCGUAAUGAUUUGGGCACUGUCUCAACAGCCCGCCCGGCGAAAUUGUAGUACUGGUGAAGAUGCCAGUUACCCGCAACUAGACGGAAAGACCCCAUGGAGCUUUACUGCAGUUUAAUACUGGGAAUCGGUAAUUCAUGUACAGGAUAGGUGGGAGACUGAGAAGCACGGCCGUCAGGUCGUGUGGAGUCACCGGUGGGAUACCACUCUUGGAUUGCUGGUUUCCUAACCUGCGGCCCUGAAUCGGGUCGGGGGACACUGUUAGACGGGCAGUUUGACUGGGGCGGUCGCCUCCAAAAGAGUAACGGAGGCGCUCAAAGGUUGGCUCAGCACGGACGGAAAUCGUGCAAUGAGUGUAAACGUAUAAGCCAGCCUAACUGCGAGACCGACGGGUCGAGCAGUAACGAAAGUUGGAGUUAGUGAUCCGGUGGUAUGUGAGUGGAAAUGCCAUCGCUCAACGGAUAAAAGCUACCCUGGGGAUAACAGGCUGAUCUCCCCCAAGCGUCCACAGCGACGGGGAGGUUUGGCACCUCGAUGUCGGCUCGUCGCAUCCUGGGGCUGUAUUCGGUCCCAAGGGUUUGGCUGUUCGCCAAUUAAAGCGGCACGCGAGCUGGGUU
RNAcentral lists this ribosomal RNA (1701 nucleotides) under human metagenome. RNAcentral describes it as "bacterial LSU rRNA". It matches the Rfam family "Bacterial large subunit ribosomal RNA", at positions 830 to 2611 of the family's 2925-position model. The record is from RNAcentral.